UUGUAACUGAAAAGCGGGUGACCUAGCUGGGACAGAGAGGAGCUGCGAGGGAUCUGGUUAGAAGAAGAGCUCGUUCUGUCUGCCUCCAUGAUCUCACAACCCCUCCAAGGACUCAUCCACCCACCUUGGGCUAAGCAGGCUGUUGGACUCUGAAAGGGAAACCACAGACCAUAGAAGGAGCCCUUUUGUGCUGCUGAUAGAACUGCAGAUUAGCCCUGUUGCAGCUCUGACCACUCCAAUUUAAACUAAAGCUUUACAGCAAGCAGUCCCUAACCCUUACACAAUGGCAGAACUGCACCGGGGUGAGUUAGUCCCUACUCACAAGAAGCUUAACACUUAACUGGAAGAGCUUGUCUUUUGCUUGAGGAUACCAGACCCAAUAUGGAGAUUGAACAGAAGAGCUUGACCUCACCUAUUGGUCUUUUCAAUGCCAAACUCUGUUUGGGCUGUCUAGCUUAAGACACCAGGAACCGGGCCAGAGGUGCCCCCAGUUUUCCGCACCUCACCUGCUCCCACAACACGGAAAUCCGCUGAGGAUGCCCAGCAGCCAGAGAUUCUGAUGUCACAGCACCAGCCGUAUCGUGACCAAAAGUAUAGAAUUAGGAGAAAUUGAAGAAUUAUUACAGUGGAUCAAAAUGAAUUCCUCAUAUUCUCCACACUUCGGCCACCUCAGCAGAAGUGUUCUGUUUAACAUGGAGGGCUGGAUUCGAGCAGUUCUUUUUAGAUUUGUGUUGUUUGCCUUUGCGUUUAUAGAGCAGAGCAGACUGGGAGUUUGCCCUGCAUCUACCAUUCUGAAAAAGCUGCUGCAAAUGAAGGUUCUGAGUAAGAGCUAAUAUGCUCGUCGUUUUGACAGUAUCUGAUGCAAGAGAAGCAGCUCUUUGAAAUGAAAACAGGAUUUUGAUGAGCUAUAUACACAAUCGUAUUUACUGUAGCAUUAUUCACAAUGGCCAAGCUCUGGAAACAACCCACAUACCCAUCAAUGGAUAAAUGGAUAAAAAGAUACAGUACAUAUACACAAUUAUUCAACCAUGAGAAACUAAGAUAUCCUGCCAUUUACAACAACGUGAAUGGACCUUGAGCACAUUAUGCUAAAUGAGUACCGUGUGAUAUCACUUAUAUGAAUCUAUAUAAGUGUCAAACCUGUCAACAAAACAGAGUGAAAUGAUGGUCACCUGGGGAUGGGGAAUGGGGGGCAUAAGAUUGAUUGCGCUUAAGGGAACAAACUUCUAAGAGUAGCAAAUAAGCCACAGAGAUCUAAUGCAUAGUAUAAUGAAUACAGUCAACAAUACUGUACUAUAAUGAUAUAAUAUAAUAAAGUCACCUCAGUAGGAAUCAUAUUAGGUAUAUAUCAACAUGCGAGGUACCUUAAAAUUGCAAUUGUAAUGUCAAAUUUAUCAAAUGAGAUAAAUAAAUAUAAAGGCAUAGUCAGUCAUGAAGGAAUUUUAUUUUAUUCCCUUUGCAUAAAAUUUGACUUUUAUUAAAAAAAGAAGAUAAUAUCCAAGUUAUGCAAGAUGAACAGGUUGUAGAGAUCCCAUGUACAUCAUGCCUAUAAUUAACAAUACACUAUUGUAGACUUAAAAAUUUGUUAAGAGCGUAGAGCUCUUUUUAAAUGUUCUGACCACAACAAUGUAUAUACAUCCGUUUGCAUUAUAGCAAAAUCAAAAGGUCUUUUCACAUUGAUUAUCCAAACAAUAAAAUAUGCAAGUAGAAUAGUAAAAGGAUAUGUAAAGUAAAAAAAUAAAAAAGAAUUGCAACUAUCAUAUGUGUAGAAUAAAUAGUUUGUAAUAUUGAAUAAAGAGAACAAAGUCUCAAAGGUAAGUUAAUACUUUAUGAUUUUAGCAGAAAGCACAAUAUGGAGGGAAUUACAAAAAUCAAAACAAUGGAUUAAAAACCAUUUACUGGGUAUUGAUUUACAUGUAAUGGUUUCUAUUACCUUUAAUAUCACAGUUAAAUACUGUUUUUAGCAACCAAUCUAAUAUAUAGACAGUUUUGGAAACUGUCUAGGCAAAGUCACCUUCCCUUCUGUAUUUAAAAGUACUUUAAUUAUAAAUCAUAUGAUCGGAAAACAGAUGCUAUUUAAGUGCAUUGUAAAAAGGUAAAAUCACUACGUGCAGAAUUGCAUCAGAACUUCACAAAAACGAAACAUAUUCUAUAAUAAAAUAAAGGUUUUUAAAUAUUUUACCAUUGGAUUCAAUUUAAUUAAAUUGUGUUUAUCUAUUUUGCUUUUUCUCCUUACAUGACUAACAAUAUAAU
This is a long non-coding RNA of Manis javanica (Malayan pangolin), 2253 nucleotides long. RefSeq lists it as uncharacterized. The record is from RefSeq and is a predicted model, not a curated record. NCBI's taxonomy places the organism in Eukaryota, Metazoa, Chordata, Mammalia, Pholidota, Manidae.